UAAGGAAUUUUCGGCAAUGGGGGAAACCCUGACCGAGCAACGCCGCGUGAGUGAUGAAGGCCUUUGGGUUGUAAAGCUCUGUUGUAAAGGAAGAAUAUGUAAGAGUGGAAAGUUCACACUGUGACGGUAGCUUACCAGAAAGGGACGGCUAACUACGUGCC
Molecule: ribosomal RNA, 161 nt
Filed under: uncultured bacterium
Lineage: Bacteria
Description: partial 16S ribosomal RNA
Rfam family: Bacterial small subunit ribosomal RNA
Source: RNAcentral